GCCUACGGGGGGCAGCAGUAGGGAAUUUUCGUCAAUGGGCGCAAGCCUGAACGAGCAAUGCCGCGUGAACGAGGAAGGUCUUCGGAUCGUAAAGUUCUGUUGAAGGGGAAAAAGAGCGGAGAGAGGAAAUGGUCUCCGAUUGAUAUUACCCUUCGAGGAAGUCACGGCUAACUACGUGCCAGCAGCCGCGGUAAUACGUAGGUGGCGAGCGUUAUCCGGAAUGAUUGGGCGUAAAGGGUACGUAGGCGGCCUGCUAAGUCUGGAGUGAAAGGUACCGGCUCAACCGGUACAGGCUCUGGAAACUG
Molecule: ribosomal RNA, 305 nt
Filed under: uncultured bacterium
Lineage: Bacteria
Description: bacterial SSU rRNA
Rfam family: Bacterial small subunit ribosomal RNA
Source: RNAcentral